RNAcentral lists this ribosomal RNA (407 nucleotides) under uncultured bacterium. Its description in RNAcentral is "partial 16S ribosomal RNA". It matches the Rfam family "Bacterial small subunit ribosomal RNA", at positions 28 to 526 of the family's 1533-position model. The record is from RNAcentral.
GACGAACGCUGGCGGCGUGCCUAAUACAUGCAAGUAGGACGCAGUUGCGAACGGGUGAGUAACGCGUAGGUAACUGCCUAUUAGAGGGGGCUAACUAUUGGAAACGAUAGCUAAUACCGCAUACUAGUAGAUGGACCUGCGUUGUAUUAGCUAGUAGGUAGGGUAAUGGCCUACCUAGGCAACGAUACAUAGCCGACCGUGGAGGGUGAACGGGCAACAUGGGACUGGGACACGGCCCAGACUCCUACGGGAGGCAGCAGUAGGGAAACUUCGGCAAUGGGGGGAAACCUGACCGAGCAACGCCGCGUGAUUGAAGAAGGUUUUCGGGUCGGAAAGCUCUGUUGUUCAGGAAGCGGUACUUAACCAGAAAGGGACGGCUAACUACGUGCCAGCAGCCGCGGUAAUUC